RNAcentral lists this ribosomal RNA (246 nucleotides) under uncultured bacterium. RNAcentral describes it as "partial small subunit ribosomal RNA". It matches the Rfam family "Bacterial small subunit ribosomal RNA", at positions 26 to 285 of the family's 1533-position model. The record is from RNAcentral.
AGAAUCAACGCUGGCGGCGCGCUUAACACAUGCAAGUCGCACGAGAAAGUGGAGCAAUCCACGAGUACAGUGGCGCACGGGUGAGUAACACGUGGGUGAUCUACCUCUUAGUGGGGGAUAUCUCUGGGAAACCGGAGUUAAUACCGCAUAAGUUCGAGAGAAGAAAGCAGGAAUGCGCUGAGAGAGGAGCCCGCGGCCGAUUAGCUAGUUGGUGAGGUAAAGGCUCACCGAAGGCAGAGAUCGGUA